Alligator mississippiensis (American alligator) is the source of this 731-nucleotide long non-coding RNA. RefSeq lists it as uncharacterized. The transcript is spliced from 2 exons. The record is from RefSeq and is a predicted model, not a curated record. Lineage: Eukaryota; Metazoa; Chordata; Crocodylia; Alligatoridae.
CACAGUGGAAACCACCACUGGGUGCAGGAUAAGAACAGAAGACGUCAGAUCUCAUCGGAGCAAGAGUCAGGUGCACGGUGAACAUCCUGCGCGGUGUCCUGAGAAAGGACAAGAUAAGAUAAGGAAGAGGUGUUCUGGGGAAGCAAUUGUUCUGGUGAGGAAAAGAGAAGAGAAACAUGGUGCAAGGCAGAAAGGAGAGGAAGGAGACAAACCUGCAUUAGUGAGUGCUCCUCCAUAUGCCUGCCUUGCAGACACGUAGCUGAUAGAAGCUGAGAUAAAGAACUUCAAACUGAGCAAGAUCUAAAUGCUUCAUUAACCAUUCAGAGGUUUUAACCAUUCUUAGACCAACACAGCUACAACACAGAUCCCUGAAACAUGGAAGAUACCGUAUUUUAGCCGUUUGGAAAAGUAAACUUUGUUGCUAACAGAGAAAGACAAUUUUUUUCACCUCCCUGUCUGCCUCUGACUUUGGACACCACCGGGGAAGAAGACAGCCUAAUCCGCACAUCACAGAGCAACACUCUCACAAAAGCACUCAGAUUCCCAGGGGAAUAAACUUCCACCCUCUACCUCCCCUGAGCAAAAUGGAGUUUCUUUUCUGCCUAGGAGGACUGCUACAAUCUUUGAAUGCUCCUCAGCCUAAAGAAAGGUGUAUGUGCCCAAAAGUUUGCAAAGAAAGGAAUUUUUUUUUGCUACUAUUUAGUUGGUCUAAUAAAAGAUAUUACCUCUGA